UAUAUAAUAAGUUAAAAAAACUAAAAGCCUUCAAAGCUUUAUUUAUUCUAUCACUAAUUAGUAUAA
This 66-nucleotide transfer RNA is filed under the name Epiperipatus biolleyi. RNAcentral's name for it is "tRNA-Trp". The record is from RNAcentral. Lineage: Eukaryota; Metazoa; Onychophora; Udeonychophora; Euonychophora; Peripatidae.